CAAAGGACUGCCUGGCAGGUGUCAAAGGCAGUGGUGGCCACAGAGGCGGUGGAGAGAUGGCCUUCAGCGGUUGCCAGGCUCCCUAUCUGAGCCCAGCCGUCCCCUUUUCUGGGACUAUCCAAGGGGGUCUCCAGGACGGAUUUCAGAUCACUGUCAAUGGGGCCGUUCUCAGCUGCAGUGGAACCAGGUUUGCUGUGGACUUUCAGACGGGCUUCAGUGGAAACGACAUUGCCUUCCACUUCAACCCUCGGUUUGAAGACGGAGGGUAUGUGGUGUGCAACACGAGGCAGAAAGGAACAUGGGGGCCCGAGGAGAGGAAGAUGCACAUGCCCUUCCAGAAGGGGAUGCCCUUUGACCUCUGCUUCCUGGUGCAGAGCUCAGAUUUCAAGGUGCACCUCCUGCUUCUUUUACUCUGAAAAUAAGAACUAGAGGAGUCAUCACGUUGCU
RNAcentral lists this unclassified non-coding RNA (447 nucleotides) under Homo sapiens (human). Its description in RNAcentral is "galectin 9C (ENSG00000284021.2)". Lineage: Eukaryota; Metazoa; Chordata; Mammalia; Primates; Hominidae. The record is from RNAcentral.